Molecule: long non-coding RNA, 3154 nt
Organism: Xiphophorus couchianus (Monterrey platyfish)
Lineage: Eukaryota; Metazoa; Chordata; Actinopteri; Cyprinodontiformes; Poeciliidae
Exons: 3
Source: RefSeq, a predicted model, not a curated record
UAUCUGCUUUUUAAGAAUUACAUUUAAAACCAAAUGAGAAAAAGUGUUUAGUGAUUAUGCUUCAAAGCUGAACCUGCCAAAAGCGCAGGACAGUGAAAAUAGUUUAAUUUUAGCAAUGAGUUCACUUAAAAGAAACACGUCUUUCAAAUGUGAUACACAGAUUUGAGCACAGGACCAAGGAAAUUGGAGGAAAUUAACAAACAUGCAACUCUUCACAGCAGAUGCUCGGGGUUCUUUGCAAUGAAACUACACAAGUUAAAUUUGCAAUGUUGUUAUCCUGUAAUUUGCAAAAUGACAAAAUGCUAGUCUGAUGCACUAAGCACCUUCAAUUGCAGCUCAUUAACUCAGUCAGGGGGAACCAUUUUACAGGCAUGGAGAAAAACUAUUAGAAUACUUCUAUUAAAUGGAAGAAUAAAUAUCCGGUUGAAGCACAAUGUGUCUUCAUUUUGGCCCAAAUGUGAUAUAUGCCGUUGCCAUGGUAAUGUGGCGAUUGCUACAGCCCUCCUCCCAGCUGUUGGUGGGUUUUGUGUGCAGGAGGGCGAGGGUAAAAAGAAAGAGGGAGACUGUGUGUUUGUGUGCGUGCACACAUGCAUUGAUGCCGCCUCCGUGCUGUGUUCCCCUUUCAGCCCUCAGAAUAGUGUCUCUACUAAUCCGUGAAAGUUGCGGCGCUCUGAACUAGUGGCCAAGGCUUUUCCCACUGAACGAAGGCCCAGGGUCCGCGCUCGACUUCACACUUGAUUGGUCCCUCCUGCGGCAGACCUCUCCUCCCCACUAGGCGUGGGCCAGUCCCCCUCGCCGGUCUCCCCCGGCACUGCUGAGUUGCCUCUCCUCACCUUAAUUAUCAAUGCUUGAGUCGCGGACUCACCAACAAACCAUUAAAGUCUGGCCAGCCUAACCUCACAAGCCCCAACACAUCCAACACUUAGCACCUUCACGGUGCUGAAGAUCAGCACCAACUCCACCAACUGAGCACCUGUUUGUGCCUGGGAUGCCCCGCAGCACUGCUGUUGGUGCAGGCCGGUAUAAAAAGCAGGAAUUGGCAGCUGUGCUGUUGUCCUGCUCCUCCUGCAGUGGAGGUGAUGUGUUUAUUUGACCUGCAUUGAGAUGAUGAGACAUGCCUAUCUCCUUGUUUUGUUCUAUGAAAAGAACUGAGUUCUUUGAUAAAUGACCCCUUCAAACCUGCACUGAGCUUUGGGAAUAACCUGAGUUGAUGUGUAAACAACUCGGAACCGACCCUGCACUUCCGUUUUCAAACUUUGUACAUGUUUUCAGAAAGUGACAUAAAUGUGGAGCUGUGAUCCUGUUCCAUAGCGUAAAUUUAGAACUAGAACAAGCCAAUUUUCUAUUUUGGUGUGCCUACUAAGUUUAAGACUGCUGCAGAAAUAGUCAGACCAUAUGGGAGUGAGCAGGUGAAAUGCAAUGACCUGGCAAAUGGUCCAGAAACUGAUGAGAGUCGAAUACACGUCAGAAGGCACUGGGUGUGCUGGCACAAACUUUACCCAGGAUGUGGAUCAGACAAACACCCAGCAUUCGUUAGUUUAUUGCUCUCUUAUUAGGAACAUUUUUUGCCUUGCACGGAUUGGCAGAGUCCCACUAGCCACCCUCUUCACAUGGCCCGGGCUCUGUCAGGACUGAUCAAAAGACGUUUCUUCACAUCUCCAGACGCCAGGGAAAAAGGAGAAGAAAAGAGGGAGAGAAGAAAAGAGCCAGAAGGGGGCAUACUGCUCUCUCUUUACUCUGGUCUUUUGGUGAAUGAGGACUUUUCACAAUACCCUCUCCCUUCUCUUUUUUUCUUUUUUCAUUCUUUCACUGGCAAAAAAAGAGAGAAAGAAAUAGCAUUUCCCAAUGCGUUUGCGCCAAAUUGUUCUUGCCAUAUCAAAAACAAUUAUCCUCAGGUUAAGAAUGUGCCUGCAGAAUUACAACCGUUCCAGGGAGAGAAAGCAGUCUUCACAAAUUUGACUGGCUUCCAGGCAGCCAAGACCCCCUCGAAGUGGUAAUGAAAAGUGUAACUUUAGCCUCCCAGCUGUACGUCUCAAUCCAUAAUCCUUCCCCAAAAACCUCACCGUAGAGCCGCCUACCACUCCCAUGGCGUUCCCAGCCUUUGCCGGGCUGGGCCUGCACUGAUUUAUGUGGCAGUCCUGAGUCAUACUCUCAACCUGAAAAGGAUUUGCUCUCCUAUAUUUACAGGGGUAGUCAGGCCGGCUCUCUUGAAAUACAGAAAGCCCUGUCUCCGGGCCUCAGUCCCCAUGGUCUUUUCCCCUUCUCUGCUUCAGUAACAAGGACAUCUGGGACCUUACAAGAAUCAGCCGAGACUCCAGUGUUUUUAUGAUGGAGUCUUUCUGCAGAGGAGUGGUCAGAGUCCAUGCACUCGCUCCUUGCAGCCACAUGGCCACGUUGUGGUAUGCAGAUACCCAGACACAGCUCCACUACCACAGUGGCUCAGACCACCUCCGAGGUUUCAUUAUCAUCGCUGGGACUCACUAAUGGCUUGACGGCUUCACUGAGCGGGCAGCUGGAGAGGAGAAUCCAGGGAAGACGGAAAAGAAGAAGAAGCAAAGGGAGGAGAAUAGGGGCACAAGGAAAUGGGGGAAUGAGGGGAAUGAGACGUGGAGGACAAAGAGGUUAACAUGAGGGACAAUACGAUGAAGUCCAACUGCUUCCUUGAAAAUCAGCAGAGACUGAAGGAGGAUGAAGCAACAGGGCAAAAGUAAUGUCAAAGAGCCGAUCAGGAGAUCCAACAGAGUGCUCUCUGCAUGGCUGGGUGACCAUGCCUGAAAAAUGUUUGAAGUGUAUAAAUCCACCUCCCAUACAUCCACAUCUCCACCUUGUCUGUUUGCAACAGCUAACCUCACAACAUGCAGACGGACCGGGGGAGGGAAUUCAGCUUCACUUUUUUCUUUCCAGACAAAUGACACCCUGACAGUUGGAAAAAUGUUGGGGUCCCUGAACAGAUUUCUCAGUUAUAAAAAUAAAAUGUGUUGGAUUAGACAAAGACAGACAUUUUAUAUUCUACUUUUGAACCCCAACGAGAGCACUGACAAAUGCCACCCUACCCCCACUCCGUCUGUGCCAUAAUUGUUGUUUUUUUUCCUUCUCUCUCUCCAGAAAUGUCAUAUAGUUAAGAGGUGAUAAAUCUAUAUGGCAUAAACAGACA